UCGACUAAGCCAUGCGAGUCCAGAGUGGUAAUGCACUCGGCAAACGGCUCAGUAACACGUGGGUAACCUACCCUUAGGACAGGAAUAACCCCGGAAAACUGGGGAUAAUGCCUGAUAGGUGGAGAAGUCUGGAACGGGUCUCCGCUCAAAUGCUCCGGCGCCUGAGGAUGGGCCUGCGACCGAUUAGGUUGUUGGUGGUGUAAUGGACCACCAAGCCUGAGAUCGGUACGGGCACUGAGAGGUGUAGCCCGGAGAUGUGGACUGAGACACGGCCCCAGGCCCUACGGGGCGCAGCAGGCGCGAAAACUCCGUAAUACACGAAAGUGUGACGGGGGAACCCCGAGUGCACUCACGCAAGUGAGUGCUUUUGUGAAGUGUAAAUAGCUUUAUGAAUAAGAGCUGGGUAAGACCGGUGCCAGCCGCCGCGGUAACACCGGCAGCUCGAGUGGUGAGCACUAUUAUUGGGCC
This 468-nucleotide ribosomal RNA is filed under the name uncultured archaeon. Its description in RNAcentral is "bacterial SSU rRNA". It matches the Rfam family "Archaeal small subunit ribosomal RNA", at positions 40 to 510 of the family's 1478-position model. The record is from RNAcentral.